GCCCGGGUUCGAUUCAAAAAAAAAAAAUAGCUCAGUUGGUACAGCGUUGGACUGAAGAUCUAAAGGUCCCUGGUUCGAUCCCGGGUUUCGGCA
Molecule: non-coding RNA, 93 nt
Organism: Schistocerca nitens (vagrant locust)
Lineage: Eukaryota; Metazoa; Arthropoda; Insecta; Orthoptera; Acrididae
Source: the annotation of a RefSeq genome assembly